This 85-nucleotide transfer RNA is filed under the name Methanoculleus sp. RNAcentral describes it as "tRNA-Leu". It matches the Rfam family "tRNA". Rfam says of the family: Transfer RNA (tRNA) molecules are approximately 80 nucleotides in length. Lineage: Archaea; Methanobacteriati; Methanobacteriota; Methanomicrobia; Methanomicrobiales; Methanomicrobiaceae. RNAcentral also lists the same sequence under 2 other names. The record is from RNAcentral.
GCGAGAGUUGCCAAGCCAGGUCAAAGGCGAUAGGUUCAGGGCCUAUUCUCGUAGGAGUUCGCCGGUUCGAAUCCGGCCUCUCGCA